Molecule: transfer RNA, 74 nt
Filed under: Pseudomonadales bacterium
Lineage: Bacteria; Pseudomonadati; Pseudomonadota; Gammaproteobacteria; Pseudomonadales
Description: tRNA-Arg
Rfam family: tRNA
About the family: Transfer RNA (tRNA) molecules are approximately 80 nucleotides in length. Their secondary structure includes four short double-helical elements and three loops (D, anti-codon, and T loops).
Source: RNAcentral
GGGUUCAUAGCUCAACUGGAUAGAGCAGCGGCCUACGAAGCCGCAGGUUGGAGGUUCGAGUCCUCCUGGGCCCA